GACGUAGGGCGCGAGCGUUGUCCGGAUUUAUUGGGCGUAAAGAGCUCGUAGGCGGCUUGUUGCGUCGGCUGUGAAAACCCGCGGCUUAACUGUGGGCUUGCAGCUGAUACGGGCAGGCUAGAGUUCGGUAGGGGAGACUGGAAUUCCUGGUGUAGCGGUGAAAUGCGCAGAUAUCAGGAGGAUCACCGGUGGCGAAGGCGGGUCUCUGGGCCGAUACUGACGCUGAGGAGCGAAAGCGUGGGGAGCGAACAGG
This 253-nucleotide ribosomal RNA is filed under the name uncultured bacterium. RNAcentral describes it as "partial 16S ribosomal RNA". It matches the Rfam family "Bacterial small subunit ribosomal RNA", at positions 524 to 776 of the family's 1533-position model. The record is from RNAcentral.